GUCUUCUGAACUGCCUUCCAGGUGCAGCCACGGGGAUGACACUGAAGAUGAGAGCAGCAAGUUCACUGACAAUGUUGAGGAAGAGGCCGCACGUGGAAGAGCCAGCAGCAGUGACAUUGGUGCCAGGUUCUGCCAUUCCCUUCUGAGACCUGAUGCAUCUGGCACCUGAUGGGGACCUAGAAUGACAAAGCACCUGUGAAGUCACUGGGCAUACUCUGUGACCCCGACAGACAACAGUUCUUGCUCUCAUGAAGGCUGCCUCCUAUCACAUGAGCGAAACCUGAACAAAUAAUAAGUUAAGUGCAUUAUGCUUACAAUUUAUAAUUCUGAUGAGUGUGAUUGUUUUGUCCUGUGUUCCCAGGUCCCAGUUUAUCAUCUACUGACUUAAAACUGGCUGGUGGUAAUUCACAUAGCUGUAGAACCCACAAUAACACAUUUCCUAUUGUCAUGGUCCUCAUUUCUUUUCCAUAAUGGUGUAAGGAAAUUUUGCUUUUCUUUCAAAGGCCACCUUGAACACAAGAGGCUCUGAGACUCAGGAUGUUUUGAGACCAAGGUUUUUAAUUGUGGUGCUGUAUCCAAGUAGCUGUGGAGAUAUAGGCAAGUCUAAUCCUUCCUGCGCCUUGAUUAUCUUCCUGAAAAAUAAGGAAGCUGUUGUAGGUCUAUGAGGUCACUUCAUGUUCUGGGGUGUCUCUGAGUCAAUUAUGGAAUAAGAUGUCUGUAAUAGAGAUCAGUAACAACUGUGGUCAAGAGCAUACCCAACCCUGAUUAGGUUUCCUUCAGGAGCAUCUCGCUGAACCUUUGGCCUGAGAAUGCAGAACAAAAAGAGCAUAAUAGGAGAUGCAAUGCCUGGUGGGUGGGAGAUCCAAGAAGACAAAGAGAAGAAUGAGACCUAUGCCAAGAAGAGGGGAUGUGCACAGGAGGCCUUACUCCAGACCCCAGAGCCUUGACCCUGGAACUGCCCUUCCAGCAAUGCCCAUCAGGUAAAUGUGGGCAUGGAUGGAUGGAAACACUUGGAGGUGGGCUGGGGAUGCCAGUCAUUACCUACACAGUUCCUCCUUUUAGGUCAGGAGAUACAAAAGAAAGGUUCCCUUGCACCAAAGCAGUGGUGAUACUAAUCUUCAGCACAUCUUCAGCCUUUAGAAAGGUUUUCACAACAUUUUCUCCUGAGUUUUGCAAGUAAUGCCCUCCCUAGGCAUUGGCAACAGGCAAUAAAGCCUGAUCUAUGCCCUGGAAGUGUCCAAGGGAGUGAGGAAAGAUGGCCCCAAACCAGACAGUUCCAGUGGGGUGUGACAACUGCUGAGUGUUGGGAUGCACUGGUUUUGGAUGCAGCCCAGACGAGCAGUGUGUGGUGACAUUGCUUCCUUAUCCCUGCCACAUUUAUCACUGCUCAACACAUGGAUUUUCUCCUCAGACACUCUGAAGGAGUUGUCAGGAUUCCCCUACAGAAAUGAA
This is a non-coding RNA of Oryctolagus cuniculus (rabbit), 1452 nucleotides long. NCBI's taxonomy places the organism in Eukaryota, Metazoa, Chordata, Mammalia, Lagomorpha, Leporidae. The record is from RefSeq and is a predicted model, not a curated record.